UUCAUUUUGUUUUCUUUUGGAUAAUCUCUUAUGGGGUUUCUCCAAUUUUGAUUUGCUUUCUUCAAUUCUUUCUUUCUUAUUGGCAAUUACUCCUUUAUUGCAUGCUUUUGACGCCUACUAAUUGAUAUCCUUUCUUACAUAAACAGAAGUAACAGAACGCUCCCAUGGACAUUAUUUGGUACUGGGCGGGUUCUUUGUUAGAGAAACGAGGAGUGCCUCCAAUAUACUUGAUCUUAUGGCUCGUACUUCAAGAUUGCUUCAGGCUUUCGAGUAAUCCAUCCUUGCACGUAGAAACGUUGAGAUUAUCCAGCUAGUGAAUCAAAGAAACGCAUUUACUCAGAAAAUUUUAACUCUCCAGCAAGCAAUGAAUAUGCAACAUCAAGGUUUGCAACAUAUGAGGCAACUGGUGUCCCAGUACCAGAAACAGGUGGAAAAAUUAGAGGCUCAGCAGCAAAGCAACCCUGUCACAAGCUGCUGCUCCUCUGCACAAUGAUGUCUUCUAUUUGGCCUAAUGGGUGAAUAAUUAGUAUGUGAGUGCUUUUAACUGCUGUGAAAAAGGUGGUGCUACAUAUGUGUAGGAACUACAGAUGGUGUCUACUGUCGCAAUUGCUUUGCGUGGGGUUCCCCUUUUAUAUUCAAAUGGUAGGCAGUGAUGAAAGACACAUUUUAGAUUCAUUUGAAUACACCUUUUAGAAUCGCUUCAUUUUACUGUUUGUGUUCUCGAUUUCGAUAUUGAAUCUUUUUUGUUUUGGUAAGUAAUUUCAAUAUUAAAAUUGAUACACAUCAUAGGUGUUUGUAGGUUUAUAUGUUCAGAGAUCAAACAAUGUAAUUGUAGCAAUAUAUUUUG
Quercus lobata is the source of this 847-nucleotide long non-coding RNA. RefSeq lists it as uncharacterized. NCBI's taxonomy places the organism in Eukaryota, Viridiplantae, Streptophyta, Magnoliopsida, Fagales, Fagaceae. The transcript has 3 exons. The record is from RefSeq and is a predicted model, not a curated record.